Molecule: ribosomal RNA, 372 nt
Filed under: uncultured organism
Description: bacterial SSU rRNA
Rfam family: Bacterial small subunit ribosomal RNA
Source: RNAcentral
CAGAGGGGGCAAGCGUUGUUCGGAAUUACUGGGCGUAAAGGGCGCGUAGGCGGCCUUCUAAGUCGAACGUGAAAUCCCCGGGCUCAACCCGGGAACUGCGUCCGAUACUGGAAGGCUUGAAUCCGGGAGAGGGAUGCGGAAUUCCAGGUGUGGCGGUGAAAUGCGUAGAUAUCUGGAGGAACACCGGUGGCGAAGGCGGCAUCCUGGACCGGCAUUGACGCUGAGGCGCGAAAGCUAGGGGAGCAAACGGGAUUAGAUACCCCGGUAGUCCUAGCCCUAAACGAUGAAUGCUUGGUGUGGCGGGUAUCGAUCCCUGCCGUGCCGAAGCUAACGCAUUAAGCAUUCCGCCUGGGGAGUACGGUCGCAAGGCUG